AAUGAACUACUCUUUUAGUAAACUCUCAAGUAGUUAUAACUUGUAAAAUAAUGUGAAAUUUUUAAGAUUUCAGAUGUCGUUUCUACUGAAUAUUCUAUGUGAAAUGUUUAUUUUAUUUUAUUUAUUUAAAUGUUUCUUCACAUUUUAGUUAUAGUUUUUAUUAAAUUCUAUAAUUAAGGUGUGAAUCACGUCUUAACCCAAGGUUACGUAAAUCUGUAGGUUGGGGCGUGACAUAGAG
RNAcentral lists this long non-coding RNA (238 nucleotides) under Prunus persica (peach). RNAcentral's name for it is "long non-coding RNA (PPER_LNC007904)". The record is from RNAcentral. Lineage: Eukaryota; Viridiplantae; Streptophyta; Magnoliopsida; Rosales; Rosaceae.